This 58-nucleotide transfer RNA is filed under the name Canis lupus familiaris (dog). It matches the Rfam family "tRNA", at positions 8 to 63 of the family's 71-position model. Rfam says of the family: Transfer RNA (tRNA) molecules are approximately 80 nucleotides in length. Their secondary structure includes four short double-helical elements and three loops (D, anti-codon, and T loops). Lineage: Eukaryota; Metazoa; Chordata; Mammalia; Carnivora; Canidae. The record is from Rfam by way of RNAcentral. RNAcentral also lists the same sequence under 1 other name.
UGGCUCAGUUUGUAGAGCAUGUGACUUUUGAUCUCAGGAUUUUGAGUUCAAACCUCAC